UGUUUCGGCUAGGGGGCCAUCCCGGCUUACCAACCCGAUGCAAACUGCGAAUACCGGAGAAUGUUAUCACGGGAGACACACGGCGGGUGCUAACGUCCGUCGUGAAGAGGGAAACAACCCAGACCGCCAGCUAAGGUCCCAAAGUCAUGGUUAAGUGGGAAACGAUGUGGGAAGGCCCAGACAGCCAGGAUGUUGGCUUAGAAGCAGCCAUCAUUUAAAGAAAGCGUAAUAGCUCACUGGUCGAGUCGGCCUGCGCGGAAGAUGUAACGGGGCUAAACCAUGCACCGAAGCUGCGGCAGCGACACUGUGUGUUGUUGGGUAGGGGAGCGUUCUGUAAGCCUGCGAAGGUGUCCCGUGAGGGAU
Molecule: ribosomal RNA, 363 nt
Filed under: Salmonella enterica subsp. enterica serovar Kentucky
Lineage: Bacteria; Pseudomonadati; Pseudomonadota; Gammaproteobacteria; Enterobacterales; Enterobacteriaceae
Description: partial 23S ribosomal RNA
Rfam family: Bacterial large subunit ribosomal RNA
Source: RNAcentral